AUGUCUGGGCUCCCUGGGCGCUCUGCGGGCGUCGUCAACCCUGACCCUCAAGCCAGAGGGUCACUACUCUGUCUGCCAUCCGCCCCGUGCAUCCCAAGCGGCGACACUCGAUUCGUGUCCCCGGGAGACCCUCAGCAGAGAAACCUGCUGCUCCUGGAGCGUCUCAGCAGAGCGUCCAAAAGCAGACUCACUACUGUUGUCCUUGCGUGUCCCGCAGAUCCUGGCCAACCUAGAGCAGGGCCUGGCGGAGGACGGGACCACGAGCAGCAUCGCGCAGGAGAACAGGCAAGCCUCCGUGCAGCUGUGGCGGUCCCGCCUGGGCCGCGUGACCUGCUCCAUGGCCAACUGCCUGCUGCUCAUGAAGGACUACGUGCUGGCCGUGGACGCGUACCGCGCGGUCGUCCAGUUCCACCCAGAGCAGGAGCCCCAGGUGCUGAGCUGCAUCGGCCGCAUCUUUCUGCAGGUGCGAGGGGUGGGGGUCGGGGGCUGCACCUCAGCGCGUCCUGUGGGUCUGAGAAAGCGAGGAAGGGUGUCAAGUCAGACGUCUGUUGCUGUCAGAAGGCGGUUUCUUUUUUGGUCCUGGUUUGACUGUACUGAGUAUCAAGCCUCCAGCUUCGAGGUGAUGGGGAGGCCAGUCGCUACACGUCAGUGUACGUAGAUUUCCGUCAGGCAGUGCACAGACGGGUGGCUGAGGCCUUGCCCUGUUGCUGUAGAAACGUGUUGAUGCGAGGAGCCGGCCACCGUGGGCUCCUCUCCCGCCCCAGACCCCCCAGGGCCCCUGGCACCCUCGUCCCUGGGAAGGAGGGGAGAAGCAGGUGUGGGAGCGUCUUCAGUUUCCACCACUGAAACACUCAGGGCGCAGCCGCCAAAACCCUGCGCUCCGGGGGAGGGCCCUAGCUCUUUGCAGCUGAGGCUGGUCUGGGUUUGUGUGUGCAUGUGCAUGCGUACACGUGCGUGCGUGUGUGUGUGCAUGCGUACGUGCGUGCGUGUGUGUGCGUACAUGUGCAUGCGUACACGUGCGUGUGUGUGCGUGCGUGUGCGUGUGCGCCCACUGUUCUCAGGAGCACUUGGUAUCUGUUUUCUGUCUUCAUAGAAGUGGCUUGCUUUUUCUCUCUCUGUCCUCAGAUAAUUCUAGAAUUAUCUGUUGCUGGAAGAUAUGAAGAAUUGACUCAAAGGCCUGAGCCACACUCCUGGGGCUUGUGGGACAAUUUAUCAACAGCUUUAGUGUUCCAUGUGUGGGAGAGGUUUCUUCUCUGUUUCUGGGAUCAAUUUUGGCAGUUUAGAGUGCCAAAAUAGAGAUCACAUGUCCGCUCCGUGUGUCCGCGUGCAUUUGCUUGGAGUCCUGCAAAGUCGUCCUCUCCCGUAAUCGCUUCAGUCUGUUGCCCAAGGCGCUUCUCCUCUCGCCUGUGAUCCUGCUCCACUUACCUCUCUUGUCCUUGACUGCUUCUUCCAUUUCUUAUCUCAUGUUUUUCUUCACAUAACUAGUUUGGGCUUGUUUGUUUGCUUACUAGAUAUAUCACAGUGCUUUUUAUUAUUUGCCUUUUUAAUUGCCUUUUUAUGUACAACUUAAUCACUCAGUUUCUGACAUGUGGACAGAUGUUGACAUCCUGCUGUGUCCUGAAUGGCUUUUGCGUUUUGUUUUUUAAUGAAAAAUGACAGUUAGUAAGUGGUCACCUAAGUUUCACCCCGCCUGACACGUCCCCACCUGACACUGGGGAACUGUAUGUGUGGGUAUAGGUCUAACAUCGUCACCUGAAUUGACUGCUUCAUUUUGUCAAAGCAGAUUGGAGACAUAAAAGCAGCUGAAAAGUACUUUCAAGACGUAGAGAAAGUAACCCAGAAAUUGGAUGGACUGCAGGGCAAAACCAUGGUUUUGAUGAACAGGUGUGUAUUUCUUUUCUGUGAUCUCCAGCUUUGCUGAGCCGUAACUGCAGCACGGUGCAGGUUUAAGGUGAGAACAAUAAUGACUUGACUUCCAUACAUUGGGACAUUGGGAAGUGAUGCCCACAAAAUAGCGAACACUCAUCACCCCAUACGGAUACAAAAUGAGAGACAGAGCGCACUCUCUCCGCGUUCACGGCAACGCACAGCGGUGUGCAUGUGCAUGCGUGCGUGCGUGCGUGUGUGUGCGUACAUGUGCAUGCGUGCGUGCGUGCGUGUGUGUGCGUACAUGUGCAUGCGUGCGUGCGUGUGUGUGCGUGCGUGUGCGUGUGCGCCCACUGUUCUCAGGAGCACUUGGUAUCUGUUUUCUGUCUUCAUAGAAGUGGCU
Bos grunniens (domestic yak) is the source of this 2269-nucleotide long non-coding RNA. Lineage: Eukaryota; Metazoa; Chordata; Mammalia; Artiodactyla; Bovidae. The record is from Ensembl.